This is a long non-coding RNA of Aethalodelphis obliquidens (Pacific white-sided dolphin), 163 nucleotides long. RefSeq lists it as uncharacterized. NCBI's taxonomy places the organism in Eukaryota, Metazoa, Chordata, Mammalia, Artiodactyla, Delphinidae. The transcript is spliced from 3 exons. The record is from RefSeq and is a predicted model, not a curated record.
CCCUCAGGCUUUCAGUAAAGCCCUUUUAUAGGAAAGGUGAGCGAGGGGCGUGCUUAGUUGGUGCAAACUUCUUGGUGUCAGAUCCUUUGUUCCUGAGGUCAGAGAACGAUGUUCCUGUAAACCUCCACCGAAACAAAUGUUAUUCUCUGUUCUGACGAGAAAG